UACAUAUCCUUCAGGUGUAAAAUGUCACUAACUGACGACGAAUAGUGGACAUUUCAUUGUUUCGAACAUGCGAGGUCGCAGGACGGCUGGCUGGCUAGCAGGCUAGGUAACGUUAACGCUAGUCACUGGCUUAGCAACGGCAGCAGUGCGCUAGAGUCAGUGUUGUUUGAACAGAAGGUUAGAAGCCAGUUGUAUUAAACAUGCAAACACAAAUUAAUUGCAUGCAGAUAAGUGUUCCAAAACAUGCAACAAAAAAACCGUAUUCAUACAGCAUAUACAGGGUUAGCCAUCUAAACGGAAAAAGAGUCACAUCUGGAUCACUAACUUACUGUUCACAAAUAAAACAACGAAUUGAAAUUUGAGGACUUUAUUUUAACCGCAACCGCUCUGUGUCCGUGACGAGGUCGAGGGACGGGACCGGACCAACCCAACACUCGCUUCCAUCGUGGUUGCAGGACCGAACCGGUGGUCCCAGAUCCCGUGGAACCAGGAGAAGACAUUUCCUCUUGAGGAAGAAAGAAAACUGCUUAACUAAAUGCCUGGUCUGAAGCAACCACGUAAAUAUAAGCUAACUAGCUAGCUAGCUAUUGUAGAAUUCCGCCUAGCUAGUAGCCACUUGCUAGCAAGCUCAAUAAAGAAAAAAGACGGGUGUAAUAACUCUUCCAGAUACAAAAAAACAAA
Anguilla rostrata (American eel) is the source of this 681-nucleotide long non-coding RNA. RefSeq lists it as uncharacterized. The record is from RefSeq and is a predicted model, not a curated record. The transcript is spliced from 2 exons. NCBI's taxonomy places the organism in Eukaryota, Metazoa, Chordata, Actinopteri, Anguilliformes, Anguillidae.